This 253-nucleotide ribosomal RNA is filed under the name uncultured bacterium. RNAcentral describes it as "partial 16S ribosomal RNA". It matches the Rfam family "Bacterial small subunit ribosomal RNA", at positions 524 to 776 of the family's 1533-position model. The record is from RNAcentral.
UACGUAGGGUGCGAGCGUUGUCCGGAAUUAUUGGGCGUAAAGGGCUCGUAGGCGGUUUGUCGCGUCGGGAGUGAAAACCCAGGGCUUAACCCUGGGCUGGCUUCCGAUACGGGCAGACUAGAGUGCGGUAGGGGAGACUGGAAUUCCUGGUGUAGCGGUGAAAUGCGCAGAUAUCAGGAGGAACACCGGUGGCGAAGGCGGGUCUCUGGGCCGUAACUGACGCUGAGGAGCGAAAGUGUGGGGAGCGAACAGG